This is a long non-coding RNA of Dreissena polymorpha, 848 nucleotides long. RefSeq lists it as uncharacterized. The record is from RefSeq and is a predicted model, not a curated record. Lineage: Eukaryota; Metazoa; Mollusca; Bivalvia; Myida; Dreissenidae. The transcript is spliced from 2 exons.
UUAUUGAUGUUCAGUAUGUGCGUACCUAGGCCUAUUUGGAUGUGAAAUUUUGAAAUUGUGUGUGUAGAACUUACUGUUAAAAUAACAUAAAAGCUGGGUUCGCACCGCCGAUCAGAUCAACUCGAUCAAGCCCGACCAAGCGGUCGGGUACUGGUCUGGUUUGGUCGGCAUGAGUGGUCGGGUGCGGUCGGGUAGGUCGGCAUUGGUUGGGCUUCCUACCCGAUAUUUUUUGACAUGUCAAAAAAAUAUCGAGAAGCGGUCGAGUAGAAAAUGGAUCGAGAAGCGCUCGGGAAGUGGUCGUGUAUUAGUCGAGUAGAAGAUCGAGUUGAUCGUGAAGCAAUCGUGUGGCGAUCGGAUUGGCAUCUUUUAUAAGACAAAACUGUUAAUUACAUAUUCAGAAUGCAUUAUUGUAAUAUUCAUUCGUUUUUUAGUACCAAAGCGCGUUUCUCUUGCUUUAUUAUUUUUAGUAAUUGCAUAUUUUUACAGUUUUACUGCAUUUAUAAACUGUUUCAUUUUUUGAGUAUUUACAAAAUAAAAUUUAACAAUUAGUUGUGAUGUUAAAUCAGUUCUUAUAUGCAAGUGUCUAUUUCACUUUUAAAUUAUAACAGCAUAAUUAUUAUACAUUAUUGAAAGAUUAUUCUUAGAUUGAUGUCAUAUCCAACUUUGCAUUGUGUAGUUAAAUAACAUUUUAUUGAACUGUAUGGGAAGCUAUAUUGAUUAAGUUAUGAAUGUUGUAUUAUACAACAUGCAUUAUUUCUACCACAAGUAUAACAUAUAAGGCCUAUUGCUACUAAUAAGGCACUGUAUAAAUUUGAUACUGUUUUUGAUGCACUUAAAAAACUUGAAUU